This is a long non-coding RNA of Monodelphis domestica (gray short-tailed opossum), 2115 nucleotides long. The record is from Ensembl. NCBI's taxonomy places the organism in Eukaryota, Metazoa, Chordata, Mammalia, Didelphimorphia, Didelphidae.
AAAGGUUUGACCGGACGCCCCAGAGCCCCCGCCUUAGCCAGAGCAGGGACUUCCCCUAUGCUGGCCUCUGUUUCCCCAUCUGUCAAAUGGGGGUCUUAAGAGCCCUUCGCUCCAUCCCUGGCACCAUUAGGUCUAGAGCGAGGCGGCUGCCAUCUUUACUGAUUCCAGAGAAGGAGACGGGGCUCGGUGCUGCCCGGCCCUGCCUGCCGUUGGCUCUUGAGGAGUUUAUAUUCUGGGGGGGUGGGGGGGGGGUUCAGAGCUUCAGGGGUGCCUCAGCUGAGGAGCCUCAGUCUCAGCAAGUUCGCCUCUGCGGGCUGCAGGACAGGAGCCCCAUGGAUCUGGGGGGCCCCGGCCGGAGGCUGACCAUGGUUUGGGGCUCCAUCACUGCUGGGAGGCAGAUGCCCGGCCGCCAGCAUCCCCAGGGCUUUGCCACCUUCUGUACCCCAGGGGGCUCCACAGAUGUUGCCUGAGCAGCUGGCUAAAGCCGCCGGGGCUCCCCGAAGGACGGAGCCAGGCAGAGGCUGCUGCUUUGGCCUCCCCUUCCAGAAGGAAGCGUCCCCGCAGCGUCGGGAGCCCCGGCGUGGAGGGAGGGUGUGCCCGGCCGGGAGGGCAGUGCCAGCUCAUCGCGUGGGCACGGCUGCUGGGCGAGAGCCAGCUGGGGGGUCUGUGCAGGAAGGAAGCUGGGGGUUGGGGGAGGCCCGGUCGGUGACCCCGGCGUGCACAGCCACGAGUCUGGGAGGUGAGGCUGGGGCAGCGGGCGGCCAGAGUCAGGCCAUCCCAGCCGAGGCCGGGCCGGGCCUCCCAGAGCCGCCUCCUCGGUCCGUCCCUCGCCCCGUCCCGGCCCUGUCCGCCACCCUUCCUCGGCCUCAGCCUGAGGCCACCCUGGCCUCCCCCGGGGGGGGGGCUGCGGGGAGGGGGGAGGGCGGGGGAGGGCGUCCAGCCUCAGGGCGGCUCUCGCCCCCAGCUGGAGAACGCCCUCCUGGACGCCUACGACCUGGCUUACGAGCGGGCCCUGCGGAACGCCUCGGAGCCCUGGAGGCAGAAGCUGGGCGCCGUCCCGACACGGUGAGCCCUGGGGGGCCCUUUGGCCCACAAGGCAGGGAGGGGGGCGCCCCGCUUUGGCUGCUGGGCCGCCCCUCACCCGGCCUGUCCUUUAGAUGGGCUGCUGCGGGAAGAGCUCGCCUUUGGGCCGGCGGGGCGCCGAGGAGCAGCACCUGUGCCAGGGCGCCGGGCAGAGGGAGGAUUGCCUCCAGGAGAUCAGAAGCUUUGCGAGGAAGCAUCUGGGCGCAGCCACCCUCCUGUUCAUCCUCACCCUGGCUUUCACGGUUCAUGGGAUGUCCCUCACCUCCUUCCUCUGGCUGAGCAUCCAUUACAGCAGGAACCUGGACCGGAAAGGCCGCUACAGCCUGACCGCCCGCUAGGACCCCCCUCAGAGGGGCCCUGCAGGGCAUCGGCAGCCCUCAGGCCCCGCGUGACCCGCACACGCCCGCAGAGCCUCGGCGUCCUCAUCUGUCAAAAAGAGCGCGGGCAUCGCCACUGUUGGGGAAAAGCGCCCCGAAUCCGUGGCUCAGGCCCGGCUCCCCUCCCUUUCCCCCAGCUCCAGACGGCACAGGCCAGAGCAGGAUGGGGGGCCUUUACUCAGGCCCCCCCCAUGUCAGGGGGUCCUUGGAACUUCGUCUUUGUACACUUUCCCUUAUCCUCUUGUCACUCUUACUGGCCCUGAAAAGCCUGAUGGGGAGGCUGGGGCAGAGGAGCCCGGGGCCCCGACUUCUCAAGCACAGGGAGCCCAGGGCACGCCCCUUCCCUCCUCUUCCUCAUCCACCCGGGGAGAAGAGGAAGGCCCGAACCGGCCCGAGAAGACAUUCCUUGUCUCCCCUUUUACCAAGGAGGGGACAGUCGCCCAGCACGCAGCCUCUCUUAACCCCUACUUCCGGCUUAGAAGUCGCUUAGUCCCGAGGCCGAGGAGCCGGAGGGGUUCAUCCGGGGUCCCCCACAAGGCUGCGUCUGAGCCCCCAUCUUCCUGCCUUUAUCCACGUCCCCAAUUCAGCCAAGCAGGGAGCCAGAGAGCCAGAGAGAGCGCCAUAAAAGUGACGAAUAAAUACAUACAAAGCGGCA